UACGGAGGGUGCAAGCGUUAUCCGGAUUCACUGGGUUUAAAGGGUGCGUAGGUGGGAAUGUAAGUCAGUGGUGAAAUCUCCGUGCUUAACAUGGAAACUGCCAUUGAUACUAUGUUUCUUGAAUUUUCUGGAGGUAAGCGGAAUAUGUCAUGUAGCGGUGAAAUGCUUAGAUAUGACAUAGAACACCAAUUGCGAAGUCAGCUUACUACAGGGACAUUGACACUGAGGCACGAAAGCGUGGGGAUCAAACAGG
Molecule: ribosomal RNA, 253 nt
Filed under: uncultured bacterium
Lineage: Bacteria
Description: partial 16S ribosomal RNA
Rfam family: Bacterial small subunit ribosomal RNA
Source: RNAcentral